Molecule: small nucleolar RNA, 128 nt
Organism: Nannospalax galili (Upper Galilee mountains blind mole rat)
Lineage: Eukaryota; Metazoa; Chordata; Mammalia; Rodentia; Spalacidae
Source: Ensembl
ACCCUCCAGUUCUCUUUCUCAUCAGAUCUCAACACUGGUCUUGGUGGUUGUAAGGAGGAAAAGCAUGCUGAAGCUGGCCUCACAGCCUUAGAGUCUGGUAUAAGCAUGUGGGCUAGAUUCAAAUAGGG